This 419-nucleotide ribosomal RNA is filed under the name uncultured bacterium. Its description in RNAcentral is "partial 16S ribosomal RNA". It matches the Rfam family "Bacterial small subunit ribosomal RNA", at positions 362 to 773 of the family's 1533-position model. The record is from RNAcentral.
UAUUGGACAAUGGGGGCAACCCUGAUCCAGCCAUGCCGCGUGUGUGAAGAAGGUCUUCGGAUUGUAAAGCACUUUACGUUGGGAGGAAGGGCAGUAAGUUAAUACCUUGCUGAUUUGACGUUACCGACAGGAUAAGCACAGGCUAACUACGUGCCAGCAGCCGCGGUAAUACGAAGGGUGCAAGCGUUAAUCGGAAUUACUGGGCGUACAGCACGCGUAGGUGGUUCCGUAAGAUGUGUGUGAAAUCCCCGGGCUUAACCUGGGAACUGCUUUCAUAACUGCUUGGCUAGAGUACGGUAGAGGGUAGUGGAAUUUCCUGUGUAGCGGUGAAAUGCGUAGCUAUAGGAAGGAACACCAGUGGCGAAGGCGACUACCUGGACUGAUACUGACACUGAGGUGCGAAAGCGUGGGGAGCAAAC